RNAcentral lists this long non-coding RNA (236 nucleotides) under Elaeis guineensis (African oil palm). RNAcentral describes it as "long non-coding RNA (EGUI_LNC072632)". The record is from RNAcentral. Lineage: Eukaryota; Viridiplantae; Streptophyta; Magnoliopsida; Arecales; Arecaceae.
UCAUAGAGACGAGGUCCUUCAUGCUUUUAGUGCAGUUCGGCCUCCAUUUUUCGUUGGGAUAGCCCGCCGCUAUUCCUUCACAUUUCCCUCCUUCUUCUCUCUCUCUUUUUUUUUUUAGGCAAGGUUUCUCCCUAGCUUUUUACGGAGUCGCAGUAGCACAGAAGGGUCACCGAGAAGGUUUUCUUCUUUCUUGCCGGGUCUCAAAUGGUCAGACCCUAAUUGGUGUCGAGAUGAGG